GCCUCUGUCUUUAUUGUCGCUAUUGACUUGAAUUUCAGUUCAAAAGAUACUGGUUUUGUUAUAUUGCAUCUCUCUCUCUCUCUCUCUCUCUCUCUCUCCCUCUCUCUCUCUCUCUCUCUCUUUAUUAAUAUGGAGUUUCGCGGAGACUAAAUAUGUCUUGCUAACGAUGGUCCUCGUUGUCGGUCGGGCUUUGCAUUUCUAAAGAGUGAGGAAGGGUAUGGCUCAAACUGUUAGUGAUGAGUCGAAGACUGGAGAGCGAUCGACAAUAGUGGCGAAGGAAAUCUAGAGGAGCUCCUGAGCUAUAUUGGUUUCUUCUGCUAUCUCAUGUCAUAAUUUAGUGAUCACUAGAUAGUUAGGUCCACCACCAGUUGUUCCUCUUUUCUUCUAAGUUUUGACUUCCACUCGCCUCUGGGGUAGCUUGGACAGACAAGUGUGGGACUUUCUCUCAGCUUACCGUCAAUUUUCAAGGACCAACCUUGGACAGACGUGGGUCUUGUUCAAUGGACGAUGAGAUAUUAUUUGCUUUGCCUCACCUGUGCGAUUGGCUGAGUGGUUCCAAGUGGACUUUCAAUUAUGGAUUGAGCAAAAGGACCCGGGCUCGGUUCCCGCACUGUCUAUAUGCAAACGUUCUUACUUUUAGACACCCACUCGGUUUUUGGCUCGGAUUUUACUUCGCUCAUGAAGUUAUGAGGCUAGGUUUCUCGAUCCCCCGAUAUUUAUCUACCUAAAGCAGGCUUUCUUCCAUCAUAGAGAAAGACAGAUUAUCUGCGUUCGGCUUGGAUUUGAGGAAAAUCGUCGAUGAGAUAUUUUGAUUAUGGUGGGCAAAUACUACCACGUGGCAUAUUGAAGGGUAAAUCGGGGACACAAGAAGGAGAGCGAUAGUGAUUUAGAAAUGGUUCAACCAUCAAGACUUGGCUAGAAGUUCGCUAAUAAUCCUUUCUUCAGGGGAGGUAUAUAUAGCUCUCAAUUCAGCUUCCCAGAUGGCUCCUUGAUUAUUGAAGGUAGGAGAAACCAUAGGAAGGAAAGAAGUCGCACGCUGAUGCUGAUUCGUGUACCCAUCCUCGUUGAUCAGAGAAUCCAAGAAUGAAGAGAACACGUCCUCAUUGCUGUUGUCCAUGUAGAAUUGAGCAUGGGUCUGCGCUUCACUACGGUGUGACGAAGAUCCGGCCCUUAUCGCUGACCCAUCAAGAUUCUGCCAAUUCUGAUUGACACCACCCUGAUGAUCAACCCUAGGGUUUUGAUGCAGAUCUUGCAGGUUAGUCAUCACGUCCUUAGGGUCCUGGGUGUUAUCAGUUAUGGCGACUUGAUAGUGAUCGCCAUUAGUCACUUGAAACUCAGAUGCAGUAGGGUUUUGUGGGGAGAUUGAAGCGGGUGCAAAAUCAUGGUCAUCUGAUGUUGGCAUGUUGGGGAUAAGUUCUAAUGGCUUGUGGGUCCUCGGGUCUA
Long non-coding RNA from Eucalyptus grandis, 1443 nucleotides. RefSeq lists it as uncharacterized. The transcript has 4 exons. Lineage: Eukaryota; Viridiplantae; Streptophyta; Magnoliopsida; Myrtales; Myrtaceae. The record is from RefSeq and is a predicted model, not a curated record.